Molecule: long non-coding RNA, 4497 nt
Organism: Lagopus muta (rock ptarmigan)
Lineage: Eukaryota; Metazoa; Chordata; Aves; Galliformes; Phasianidae
Exons: 3
Source: RefSeq, a predicted model, not a curated record
AAGCAAUAAUCUUGCUCAACCUGUAAAAUAAAAAUAUGAAGGUUACUGACAAUGCAGUUUUUAUCUCUUUCACAGUAAUGGUUUCAGGCAUAAAGCCGUAAUGGAUUCAAGCUUCAAGCAAACCUGUCCUCUCUCCUUCUCAUGUCUGGAGAAAUAGGUUAUGGCUUGCUAAUACAAACCCAACUCAGCAGCGACUCAAAUUUGUUGCUACAGAAUAAUACUGGCAGGAGAACAAACGGAUCACAUGAAUAAAUUUAAGCUGAUAAAUAGGAGAUAUUUUCUGGCCAUCUGGAAUAGCAGUCAGACUAUAGAAGGUUGUGGAACAGUCUUCAGAAGAACAGUGGAAUGAAAUGGCUGAAUGUUUUUGAAGAUGAAGCUGGAUAAACUUCUCUACGUGGUUGUUCUGGAUGAUUGUCUUCUACAACGUGGGGCUGAAAUACAAAAAGUUGAUGCUGUUGUAAGCAGUCCUUUGUGCAAUUUGAGGGAAUGCAAUGUCAAUCCAUGAGGAUGAACAUCGGUGUUACGGAAUGAGGAUUGUGAAUGUCGAGGCCAAGAACAGGAUGGACAUGGAUCAUUUCUCACCAACCAGAAGCAAAUUAUUGCCCACUGGAAGCUGGCUCUAUUGCACACAACAAGAAGCAUCCACUGACACUGGUGCAAACAGGCAGCAAAUCUUAGCAGAGAAUUUUCUUUAAGGAAUAUGUUUAGAUAUUAUUUUGCAACUGCUUUCUAUUGCUUGGGCUGUUGUCUCCUAAAUGCAAUUGACAACUGGAUUAACGCUAGCAGAGCAAGCAGAAGUCUAUGUUAUCACUUCAGCUAACACUGUAAGAAAAACAAUUUCCCAAGAUCAUGGCACCUAGCACUUUUUCCCAGUAUCAAUACUUCUGUGGCAAUGAAAGUUUUCAAAGGCAGCCUUGAUAUAGAAGUGACAGAACAUGGCUGCCUCAUCUGCAUCUUCUGCUGAAAAGAUAUUUGAAACAAAAAGAAAAAAUAAAUGUCAUUUACUGGGCUGGUGAGAGACUGGAGGGCUGUACUGAAUUCAGUGGAAUUGUGGUAAUUGGCAUUUUCCACUGGUCCACCCCAAGGUGAAUACUCGCUUAUUGGUUUUGAUGCAUGAAUCCUUCACCAAAAUGGAUUUAACAAUUGGACAAAGAGAAUCAUUGAGACUUGAUCCACCAGCAGCUGCUGAACAUUGCUCUGAAUACAACCUUCUGCACAGGAACUCUUAACCUGAUGGUUAGUGAAAUUCAGAGUACUGGCUGGCAAUAAGAUGCUUAGCAGUCGUGCUUGUUGUAAAGCUGGAUGUUAUUUAUUCAGAAAGCUUGAUAUUUGAUUCAGAAAUCUGCUAGAUCAUUAAAUGUGCUUCAAAUAUUGUGGGUUGUUGGUAAUACUGUCAUAGAAAUUGAAGUUGUAAAAUGCUACGGAAUCAUGUGGUUUCCUGACCUCCUGCUUAUCACAGUCCAUUACUUCUAAUAAGGAACUUCAAAAGUUUGUGGUAGUCCAAAAUGUUUUUGUUCCUUCUCCUCCAGUUUGAUGUUUGCGGUGGGAGAAAAAAGAUUGUGUAAUGUUUGCUCGUGCCCUAGGUUUACUUAUGUUGCUUACCAUCUGCUUAUGUUUUCUCCAGUUUCCAGAACCCUUAAUCUUAGUGCAGAAGUGGGAGUGAAAAUUCAAGGUGUCCUAUGUGGGAGCUCAUCGGCUGCUAAGAGCUCCAGAAAUGACAAAAGCUGUCAGUCUUCCAGAUGCAUCCCCUUUUGAAUUGGUGACAGUAAUAAUUCCACCCCUAAGUCUUCGGUAAUGCAUUAGCAUUAACUGUAAUUUUUGCCUUUAGACAGUCUCUACAGUACAGCAUGACAGUUCCUACCCUGUAAUUGUAAGAUCCUCAUUAAUCAAAAAGAAUAUUAUGACAUUGUGAGCUCACAAGAAAGACAAUUAAUGACUGACAUAAUAAAGGCCUAAAUUGUGCUGCUUUGAUGAUUAGAGGUGCCUUUUUUUUUUUUUUCCUUGUGAAAAUAGGAUUUACCAGCUGUAAGAAAAAAUGCUGUAUAAUAAAAGCAAAGAGUGUUCAGAGGCAAGCAACAACAACUCUUAUCUAGAACAGGCCUUUAUUUCAAAAGAAAAUUAAAAUUUCAAAGCCAUGUCAGCAGUGCUUUUCAUUGAUAAGCCUGAAUUUAAAUCAGGAUCUUAAAGAAAAACCUGUAUGUAAGAAACACAUUGGGGUAGCACUGUGUUUAUUGAUUUGCUGUUACCCGUUAAAAGUACAGAAAUAUAUAUAUGAUUUUGGCUAGCCUCAAAAGUGUGUUUUGGCAUUUAUGAAAUGAUUAAUGCUCAAGCACAUCUCCUAAAUUGAAUGCAAUUAUAUGUAUUCUCCUUUGUUCAUAAGAAACCAGACACAGUGAAUGAUAAAUUAAGGGGAGAGGAAAAAAACGCUUGAUCCAAGAUUCUUUCAUCAAAGGUUUGUAGGCAAAACCACUGAGUUGCUAGCACAAACCUGGAAGGUUUGAACCUUCCCUCAGUAGGUUCAAGCAAAUCACUGGUUUAAGCACUGGUUUGAAUGAAAUCAGGACAGCACUGUCUGUGCCUAUGUGCUGUGAGGGAUGAACUAGGAGCUCUCUAGAAGACCCCAAAGCACAGGGGGAUAAAGGUAUGCAGAGUAGGCAGUGUAAUCCUGAUGGAGGCCCAUGCACUUUGAUGCACUGUGACUAACAGGAAAACAAGUUAAAUCAAUGUUUUCUAUCUGGGUAUUCCUUCCUUCAGAACAGAAUGCUUGAUGCACUUGUGAUCCAAGUAACUAAUAAGCUAAAUGAGUAUUUAUGACUCUGAGAAUCCCCAAAAAUGACUCCUGAGCUGGGCUGCUGUGCAGUAGUUAAGCAAUUUCUACCAGGCACUUUUUCUGUAGUUAUUUAAAUACAUUUUUAAAUAUAGUCCUAGCUGUUAAUGCAGUCAGAUUACUUCUAAGUGUGAAAUUACUCCCUUUCUUAUCUGGACAAAAGUUAGUUGAGAAAUGAGAAAAAAAAUUCUUUUGGAUUAUUACCCAAAUCACCAUCUUUUCUCAAGAUAACAUUUUUAGUACACAGACCCAAGGUUCACAGCCUUCGUCUCCUUGAGACUGUGAUGUGUAGGAUGAUCAAAAUCAAUUGUUGUGUAAAAUGAUAACCUUUGUUAAAAAAUGCUUCUUGAAAUAAUGCCCAUUCCUUCCUUUUGUUGUUGUUGUUGUUUUGCUUUGUAUCUAUCAUUUAAAACAAGUGCUUUUACGUGUUUAUUUCAGAACUGACCACAUGGUAAUUCAUGAAAUCCUUGUUUUGUUUAUGUUUCUUCUGAGCACAAGGCCAGACUGGUGCUGACUAGAUAUAUUCUACCCCAAAAUUCAUUUAGCAUGGAUGACAAGUCUUCAGAUGUUUAGUCCUCUCCGUCUAUUCCUAUGGGCAGGCACUACUUUUAACAAAGAUGUUGCUUUUAUGUCCCUCUCCAAAUGAAAUUCAGUGACACUUGUAAGUAUAUCAAAUCCUGAUGUCUUUGUAGCUACCAUCAAGAAAUAUCCUCAAUAUCUAAUUAGCAUUUAUUUAUAUUUCAGAUUCUUAUGCUUAUUUCUUGUGUUGCCCCUGUUUUUAGGACUGGACCAUGGUUAGUGAACUUAAGUCUCAGCUAUUUUUCUACUUUAAAUAUCACUUCCUUCUUUUGAGAGGACUCCAGAAGUGCACAGCAUUUAGGCUGUGGGACUUCUUAUUUCAACAAUCAUAUACAGACAGCAUUAAAACACGGUGAUUCAGAUGGUUCCCACGGUAUAAGGACAAAAGUACAGGGAACGGAGACUUACUUCUGAGAAGCUAAAAAGUUUUCUGUACAAGUCUCAGUCCCUGAGGAUUUUAUAAAAUUGUACCAAUCCUAGAAAAUCCUGAGAGAGAGUUUUAUGACGAGUUCUUGAUUUUGUUUUUCCCAUUUCUACUCUUUAGAAGCAACUGCUGCAUACCAUUGCACUUAUAGAAUCAUAGAAUUGUUUGAGUUGGAAGGGAUCUUUAAAGGUCAUUUAGUCCAAUUCCCCUGCAAUGAACAGAGAUAUCCUCAGCUAGAUCAGGGUGCUCAGAGCCUGAUCCAGCCUGAUUUGGAUGCCUCCAGGGAUGGAGCAUCCACCACAUCUAGGGGCACCUCUUGAAGUGUCAGAGAAAGUAAAAUUCAAAGAUGGUCCUUGUAUGGGAACUGCUGAUUCACGGCCUGAACCUCUGAUUGAUCACCUGAGGCGAGCACUGAGUCAGCCACAGGAGCACAGGUGAAGGCAAUUCAGCUGUGUGCCGGAAGGGGGGGAGCCUGGCUGCACCUCUCCUAGACCUAUUUAAGAGCUGGCUGCCAGCGGGAAAGGAUCUCUGCUGGACAUCCCUUCUUCUGGUGUUUUUUUGUGGGUGAGCCUAGCAUAUGGGAAACCCUGGUAUGGCAUGCAUUCCAGAAAUAGAUGAUUUGACUGAUCUGUCCUUCCACUAUAAUUCUGAAAAGGAGCAAGGUAAA